Long non-coding RNA from Cygnus olor (mute swan), 1050 nucleotides. RefSeq lists it as uncharacterized. NCBI's taxonomy places the organism in Eukaryota, Metazoa, Chordata, Aves, Anseriformes, Anatidae. The record is from RefSeq and is a predicted model, not a curated record. The transcript is spliced from 2 exons.
UUGCUUCAUAAGUAAUUAAGGCCCUUUAUACAAAGGGCGUCUCAGAUCCUCCAGGCAAUCUGAGAAAGGAUAUAAAUACACUUUCCGUGCAAGGUUCUUCUCACUACUUCUCUUGACUUGUUCUCUGCGGUACACUGAGACCCCCCCUCCGCAGCCAGGCGAUGGCUUCCGAGCAGCUGGCGUGCAGCAACCCCUGCGAGGCGAAGUGCCCCCAGCCCCUGGCCGCCAGCAGCAACGAGCCCUGCGUGGUGGCCUGCGGUGACUCCCGGGUGAUCAUCUACCCACCACCCGUCGUCGUCACCUUCCCAGGGCCCAUCCUCACCACCUACCCUCAGCAAACGGUGGUGGGAGCCUCGGAGCCCUCCGAGGUGGCCCUAGCAGAGCCCCCCGCUGCAGCCCCCCUGCCAGCAGAGGCCCAGGGGAGGCUGGAGGCUGCAGUGGAGAAACUCACCCCACAGGUCAUCACCCGCCCAGAGCCUCGGUGUGCUCCCAAAUACUCCUACACAUAUUCUUCCCAAUGGACACAUCCGUGCAACUCGUACCGCUCUGGGAAACGGUGGACAUACUGAGCUGAGAUGCAGAGUGGCUUUGGGUAGCUCAAGCCCCUGGCGAUGCAGGAGGGCUGAGCGGCCAGGCAGGAGCUCAGCACUGGGCAUCGCCUGGCUCCAGCUGGAGAAGGAGAGCUGCGAACGCUCAGCACCUGUGAGAGACAGCUCAUGUGUGCAGUUUCUCCUUUUGCCUUUAGCUUAGGUUUGUUAGCCUCUGGCUUUCUGGUUUAGUCAUCUGCUUACGUUGUGCUUUGUUUUACUUCAGUUACAUUAUUGACACUGAGUUUAGAGAGGUGACUUAGGAUGCUAGAAAUUGCACACAGCAACUGCACCGAGGGAGGAAAAAAAAAAACAUUUUUUUAUAGGUUGCAUCACUUUGGGUCCUGGUGAUAAACCAGACCCCAGUGAACCCCCAGAAAGAUAAUCUUUAUAUUAUGUACAAUUUUGUUCCAGAAUUGUAGAAAAGCUGUCUCCUUCCAAAUAAAUUUUCUAUACCAAACUA